AGCAGAGAGGACCGUUGGGAGAAUGAGAAGGCUGCUGGAGAGGGAUAGCUCAAGGGGACAGCUUCAGGUCUGAGAUGACUCGAUGAAAGGGGUCAGGAGGAGACCGAAGGAGCAAGUCAAGGGGCUGCAGAGGCUUCCCAAGCCCUGGGAAGAGUGAGUCCUAAGAAGUGGAAUGGAGUCGUCCUGAUUUCAAGCAGCCGUUACAUGCCAGGCCUUCCGGGGACACGAAGGUGCCACGCUGGGUGGCUUUCCACAGGAAGCUGGUGGCGAGACUGGAGAGUC
This is a long non-coding RNA of Mustela erminea (ermine), 282 nucleotides long. RefSeq lists it as uncharacterized. Lineage: Eukaryota; Metazoa; Chordata; Mammalia; Carnivora; Mustelidae. The transcript has 3 exons. The record is from RefSeq and is a predicted model, not a curated record.